GACGAACGCUGGCGGCGUGCUUAACACAUGCAAGUCGAGCGGUAAGGCCCUUUCGGGGGUACACGAGCGGCGAACGGGUGAGUAACACGUGGGUGACCUGCCCUCAGCUCUGGGAUAAGCCUGGGAAACCGGGUCUAAUACUGGAUAUGGCUCCAUGACGCAUGUUGUGGGGUGGAAAGCCUUGUGCGGCUGAGGAUGGGCCCGCGGCCUAUCAGCUUGUUGGUGGGGUGANGGCCUACCAAGGCGACGACGGGUAGCCGGCCUGAGAGGGCGACCGGCCACACUGGGACUGAGACACGGCCCAGACUCCUACGGGAGGCAGCAGUGGGGAAUCUUGCGCAAUGGGCGAAAGCCUGACGCAGCGACGCCGCGUGAGGGAUGACGGCCU
Molecule: ribosomal RNA, 388 nt
Filed under: uncultured bacterium
Lineage: Bacteria
Description: bacterial SSU rRNA
Rfam family: Bacterial small subunit ribosomal RNA
Source: RNAcentral